AGUGAACGCUGGCGGUAGGCCUAACACAUGCAAGUCGAACGGCAGCACAGUAAGAGCUUGCUCUUACGGGUGGCGAGUGGCGGACGGGUGAGGAAUACAUCGGAAUCUACUUUUUCGUGGGGGAUAACGUAGGGAAACUUACGCUAAUACCGCAUACGACCUACGGGUGAAAGCAGGGGAUCUUCGGCCCUUGCGCGAUUGAAUGAGCCGAUGUCGGAUUAGCUAGUUGGCGGGGUAAAGGCCCACCAAGGCGACGAUCCGUAGCUGGUCUGAGAGGAUGAUCAGCCACACUGGAACUGAGACACGGUCCAGACUCCUACGGGAGGCAGCAGUGGGGAAUAUUGGACAAUGGGCGCAAGCCUGAUCCAGCCAUACCGCGUGGGUGAAGAAGGCCUUCGGGUUGUAAAGCCCUUUUGUUGGGAAAGAAAAGCAGCAGGUUAAUACCCCGCUGUUCUGACGGUACCCAAAGAAUAAGCACCGGCUAACUUCAUG
This 492-nucleotide ribosomal RNA is filed under the name uncultured bacterium. Its description in RNAcentral is "partial 16S ribosomal RNA". It matches the Rfam family "Bacterial small subunit ribosomal RNA", at positions 29 to 507 of the family's 1533-position model. The record is from RNAcentral.